UACGGGGGGGGCAAGCGUUGUUCGGAAUUACUGGGCGUAAAGGGCUCGUAGGUGGCCAACUAAGUCAGACGUGAAAUCCCUCGGCUUAACCGGGGAACUGCGUCUGAUACUGGAUGGCUUGAGUUCGGGAGAGGGAUGCGGAAUUCCAGGUGUAGCGGUGAAAUGCGUAGAUAUCUGGAGGAACACCAAUGGCGAAGGCAGCUCACUGGGACGGUAUUGACGCUGAGACGCGAAAGCGUGGGGAGCAAACAGG
RNAcentral lists this ribosomal RNA (253 nucleotides) under uncultured bacterium. Its description in RNAcentral is "partial 16S ribosomal RNA". It matches the Rfam family "Bacterial small subunit ribosomal RNA", at positions 524 to 776 of the family's 1533-position model. The record is from RNAcentral.